Cyanistes caeruleus (blue tit) is the source of this 8050-nucleotide non-coding RNA. The record is from RefSeq and is a predicted model, not a curated record. Lineage: Eukaryota; Metazoa; Chordata; Aves; Passeriformes; Paridae.
CGAGCCGGGGGGGAGCGCUCUUCUGGGGAAGCGGGGUCUGCCCCAAGCUGCAGCUGCAGCGUGGGGCUGUGCAGAGCGCCCUGUGCCACCUCAGAGCCAGCACCCAGCCACCGCAGGGACACCGCAAAGCUCCGGGUGCCGCUUCAGCUGCCGUCGCAGGGACAUCGCAGAGUCCCUGGAACAACUUACGAGUCACCGCUACGGAGUUGGCACCGGCAUCUCUGAGUUGCCGCCACGGGGACACCUGAGUCACCGCACUAGGGCCAACGCGGAGCUGCCACCACAGGCUAUGGCUGUGGAGCAGUGCCACCGAGCCACCACCAACCCGUGCCUUCCAGGGCUGGCAUCUCAGCAAGGAGCCAGCGAGUGCCACAGGGCCCCAUUCUCCAUGUGAGGAAGGCGUGGGGCUGGGUAACUGCUGUCCCAGUGCCAUCUCCACAGCUGGUUGCUAACCCUGCCAGACACAGAUCCUUCCUCCAUCCCAUCCCCAAAACGAGUGAAGCCACUCACUUGGAGGGUUUCCAUGAGGAGAGCCUGUGUUUAAAAAAGAACUGUGAGGAUCUGAAAAUCAAAGGCAAGGAUGUCAAAAAACCUGCAACCAAGAGAGUGGAGUGCAAUAUAGCAACAGAAAAACCCACAAGUGUCAUAAUUCAGGCUACCACUACUGUCUUUUGCUCUUGGGUGAAUGGAAGAAUCAAAGAGAAGAGGCUUUUCAUGCUCUAUGGGUAGCAGGGUAUCUCCUUGCCCUCAGCUCAAGAGGUUGCAGGCUCUGUGCUUUUGCAUCUGGAUGGUCAGUUCCCAUGGCAAGCCUUAUGUCCUGAAAUUUAGAAGCUAAAUCAUCCUUUUACUGCUUUUUAAAAAUUAAAGAACAGUUGAAGUUGGCAGGAGCCUCUGGAGACCUCAUCCAACCACCUGUCUCAAAGAAGAGCCAGCUCAAGCAGGUUAAUUUGUACCACAUCUCAUCAGGUUUUGAGUAUCUUCAAGGAUGGAGACCCCCUCAGCCUCCCUGGGCAGACAUUUUCAGUGCUGGAUUACCCUUCUGGUGAGGUUUUUUGUUUAAAGUUUAACUCAACAACUCUUUGACAAAAGGGACUGUAAUAAGUGACUGUUAUAGAACAAAACAUGCAUAUACACAUGAAUUUGCCCAAGACAAUCUGGUUGCAGCAAGUUUAUUGUUAAUUCCACAGCUGAGCCAUUUUCCGGAGGACCCUCGUUCAUCCCACGCACAGGACUGACUUUGCACUGUUAGCAAGAAGUCUCACAAGGAUUUUCCACAGUGUUGUUCAGUGCACAAAGCCUGAGGCAGGAUUUACUGCACAUUAUUCAAUUUCUGCUAGGGAGGUAGGAUUAUUAGUCUCCUAAAAAGCUUUUCAAUUGAGUUCACUAAAACAGCUGAAUGUUUCAAAACUGGUAAUGAUUUUAGCUUUGCAAGUCCCCUGCCAGAGGAUGGGUCUAUGCUAUGGAUGUUUUACAGAGGACGAAGCUUGAGCCCAGAAGGGCUAAAAGGAUAGGGGGAUGCAUGGACACACCAACAAUUAGGACAUUACAGAGCACUUAAAGGUGUAGCAACUUCCCUUCAGGUCAAGAGGCUUUAAUAAAGCCAGUGUCCCAUGGCAGACCAAGCUGCUGCACAAGGAGCAGCUCAGUGCCUGGGUGGCAGUGGCAGGGUCUGUGCUUGCCCUGUACCCAGCAUUGCUCUGCCUUAGUGUGCUCACCACACCAAGUCAUUUCCUGCAGCCCAUGGCCAAAGAGGGGUUGGGCUGUAGGAAAGAGGGAAUCGGUCAAUUCAAAUUAAAAGAGGCUGAGAUUGUCCAGACCUGGGUCUAGGCAAGUCUGGCUCAUGCUAGCCUAAGCACUUUGCAUUUGAAGGGGGCAAGCUGAAAAUAAAGAAAGCACCUUGAGAGUCAAGCUCAGGCAGACAGGUAGCACAAAGCAUCUGCCAUGUGUCCUGCUGGCCCCAGGACUGGAGACCUGUAGCCUUUGUCACACAGGUGGUGGCUAAUCCUUCUCCCACAGCUGUUUCUAUAAUCCAUGGUGGCACUAACCCUCUUGUCUAUAGUCCAAGGAACCUUUUGUCUUCGAACCAGAGACCACUGCAGAGACCCCUUUUCCUGAUUGCCCCUAGGAGGGAGAUUUGGCUUUUGUUUGAGUGAAGGCUUUCCUGGUUCAGCAUGGGAGCGGGGAACAGGACACAUGUUCCAGGAAUUAAAUCCACUGCAGGAACUGGAAAGAUUCUAGUCCCCUAAAAGCUGAUCCACAAUGCAAAGCAGGAGGGGAAAAAGGAAGGAAGAUGGACAAAAAAGACUUUGCAAGGAGCAGACCGAAGGCAAGUCUGAGUUUCACUGUCUAUGGAGGAAAGCAGAGCCACCCCCCUACCUCCUUCCAUUUCCCAGCCCUUCCCUCUUACAAGCUGCAAGUCCCUGGGAGGCCCCUAAUCUGCUUUGCUGUACAAAAGACCCAGUCUACUGGCUUUCCUUUUCUUUUUGCCUAUUUAGAGUUGAAGUGGGGAUCAGUUUCCAGGCACGAAGGCGAGGAGGGGGAAGGAGCAGCAUGCAAGGGGUCUCUCUGCAAAACAGAUCCUGUGGAGGGCAAAAGCUCAGGUGGUUUGGGGUGGGCAGGGCACACAGGGACACGGGGUGUCAGGAGUUGUCAGGAUGCUUUCUUUCUAGUUACUGAGCUUUUCUGGUGUGCUUGGGUAUCACAAGCAAACCGAUGGAGAAGAUAACUCCUUCUAUCUUUUGUUUUACUUGUGAAACAGGAUCUCCAGUCUUUUGAUCAUAUUCAGAGAAUUUUUCUGCACUGCUUCUGGCAACAAUUCAGCCUACCUGUCCAGGACUCCUACCCAAUGCUAGAUGAGGUCUUGUCAGUACUUCGCAAAUGCUAUUAAUAAUUUCCUGCUUCUACUGGCAAUAUCCCAAACCCCUCGGGUCUCGUUCGCCUUUUUGUGCCUUUAGCUCAUUGGUGGUUCAUAAUCACCCAUGACUGCUACAACGAAGUUCACCUCCUCCUCAGUCAUGUCCAACUGACACACUCCCUGUCUAGCACAAAAAACCCCAACCCUGUGAUUAGUCUUGCAUUUCGUGCUCUUGAAUUUCAACUCAUUCCUGCGUCUCCGUGCUCAAGGUUGUCUGCUGCUUUCUGUUUGAUCUCCUGUCUCCUCUGCAUUCACAAUGCCUCCCCCUUCUGCGUCAUCAGCUGGCUUAACCUAAGCGCUCCCACUUCUUAUGACAACAUCAUUCAUGGAGAGAAUAAACAAGAUCAAUCCCAGGAUCGAUUCCAGAGAAACUCCAGUGGUGAACUCUGUCUAGCCUGCUACUGCCUCUGUCCAGAGGUACAGCUUCUGUGCCCGACUUCUAUUUCUUCCCACUAAUCCCAUCAUCUUCAGUUUAAUUAGUAAUUUUCCUGUCACUCCAUUGAGCACAGCUUGGUGCAUUUGUCUAGAAAUUUGUCUAGAUGAAUUGAGAUGAGCAGGCUGUCUCGGCCGAAUGCUUUCCAUGGCCUGCUGAGCUGGUUCUGCUCCAGCCGUUUAACUGAGCUGGCCUGCAAGUUUUGUUCCAGGACUUUGCAUGCUACUGACCCAUCCUACAAACUCCCCACGUCCCACACAGUAAAAAACAUCAAACAAACCAGGAAUGGGUACUACAUUCACAACAUUCAGUGUGGUUCUUUCUCUUCUGCAAGAGGCUCUGCCUCUGGAAACCCUGCCAUCACACCUGCAUUUUGGCAUUUUGGUUUGUUUGGAAACCAAACAAAUACCUGCUUGUCCUGGCUAUAACACAUCAACGUGUCUGACUUUUGCAUCUUAAUUUGUUAUAUCAUUCAGGCUUCGUACUGUCAUUCUCCACCUUGCAUGUUGACCCUACACCCAGCAUCAUCAUCCUCUUCAGACUGACUGGGAGCCCCAUCAUGAACAUCUUUGUUUCCCAAUAGAGCCACUGUGCUGAGUGGAUGCCUGACAGAUAUUUUCCCUAGUGUCAUAACAGCCUUUGUUAAGAUUUGGGUCAGCCAGUUUGCUAUGUUGUCCAUACUGCUUCCAGGUCUCUAGAGUAUUCUGGAUUUGUCACCAAAACUGGUAGGGGAGGACAUGAAUCCAGUUGGAACUGAAUCUCCCAGAGCUGAACUCAUCCUUUUCAGGAUGAAAACACAUCCCAGAUCCAGUUCUCAUGGGCUCAGGGAGCUUUAAGAUUUUGCAUUAGCUUUGCUAAAUGCUGUGCUGGGGGACCUGGCAGUCCCUUCUGACCCUCAGGCACUGGGUUACAGAUGUUCCCACUGCAAUCCAGGCCUGUCAGAGGCAACUCUGAUGCUCUCUGGGAGUGGACCAGAUCCUCUCUAGUGCAGACAACACUAGGUCUAGAAAUAAGGCAUCUUUUCCGUGCCUUCAUCUGAAAGGUAAAUAACAAAGCCUGCGGAAUUAAAUUGUAAAAGCCUCUCUGUCAAGCUACUAAAAAACCAGUUUUUCCCAAUUUAAUCCAGCCUGCCAGGGUACUGGGAUCCCCAAGCAGGGAGAAGUCCAUCCUCACUGAAGGGAGAUGAAUGGACUCUAAACAGAGGGAUGAGCAGACUCCUUGUGUUGUAGAGGAGGAUGGGACAGAUCCCACACCCUGUAAGGGGCAGAUUGGACAGACUCCCUGGAGGGUCAGCGCUCUGUGUUAACCUUUGCAGAGAUUCCCUGGGUGUCGCUUUGCUCCCGGUGCCUCCCGGGAUGCUGCCGGCUGUCAGGGUACCCGGCUUCCCCGGAGACCGUGCCGGCUGCUCCCAGCUCACCUGCCCUGCUGUGAGCACCAAAAGCGAAGCCAGAGCCUCACCAUGCUGCCCUCUAAAGCCUCUGUCUUGCCGUGGAAAUAAAUUGCCUCAGAUUCCCGUAACUCAGGCAGAAAACCCAGGCCCCUUGCUGAUAAAACCAGGCAGCCUGGACAGCGUUGCCCUGGCAACCUGCACUUUCUUCCCCAUCCUUUUGUUCGGCCUCGGACCCAGACUUUUGUACCCAGCCAUAAUGGGGCCAGACUCUUGGGAUGUUUACGGGGUGAGGUGAGAGGAAUUUCAUUCAGCCGUGUCUUGCUUGGCCCGUCUCCUUCCGCAGGGUGAGGGAGGAAUGUUAUUGACCAAGGCCCCAUGCAGCGACCGAGGCACUAAAGAAAGGCACUUUAGACUUUCCGACAAAGAAAAGAAAUUCCCGCCCUCCCCCAUGCAAACAUACCCCCCUGCCCCAAUUCGCCUUUUGUUUCCUUAUUUCUCUUUUGGUAACUUCCCCGCUCACCCGCUCCUGCCCACAGCUGCUCUCACCAGGCACAAACAAAACCCUUCAGCGUGCCCCGUGCCCCGGGUGCCUGCCAGCUCCGAGUUGCAAGGCAUUCAGUAAUCCUCCUGGAUCCCUAUCCUCUGAGGCACCUUGACAAUAAAACAAAGCUGGAUGUGUACUGAGUUUGCAGUAGCAGGAGUGCUGUGUGGCUGAGGCCAGGGCAUGGAGCAGCCAAGCACAGCAGGGAGCUGGAGCAGGACCCCAGCCCACGCUGAGACCCUGCCAUGCUCAUUCCCUCGGCCUCUGGUUCGGGCUGGAAAGGGUUAAGCACACCAGGUCCAACUGCCUGCUGAGAAGACAAAAGUCUGCCUUGACAUCCAAUAUUGAAGCUCCCAGGGACACCACUGAGGAAUUCCCAUUAGCUGGUGUUUGUGGAAAGCCUUAUAUCAAAUGCCAAGGACAGCCAGUUUGCUUUCCUCGUGCCAGUGACUGGGAGAGCAGCAACACCUUCCUGGCACUGCAUUUCAGGGAAGAAGCAAUGCAGACAGAGACCAAGUGGUGCCUUCAUGGAGGAAAGGCAAGCAAAUCUUUCCCCUUGUCCCCCUGCACAGCUGGCAGCUCCAGCAGUGGCCAAACCACCCUGGAGAAACUCUAGCCUGACUUGACCAGACAUGUGCCUGGGUUCAGGUAGCUCAUUUCAGAGGAGGACCUGAUAUGACCACUCUCUUCCUGACCUUCAGAUUUCACAGUGUCUUGGGAGAAGUCAAAUAAAUCCACAAUUUGGGCAGAAGACUCUGAGGACCCGUUACUGGCAAUGCAGUUGUGUUUCCCACUCACCCUGUCCCACUCUGCUCUGGUUUCAGGGCACCUGUGGAAAGCCAAAGGCAUGGGCAGAGAUGGGAAGCUGGGAAAGAUGGCACUGGGUUUUGUCCAGUUCUGCUGUGGGCAUAAAUAGAAGAUAAAACCCAAGUGGGUGUUGUUGGAGUGGAUAAGGACCCCUUGAGAAGUGAGUGGCUCCUGCUAUGGGCAGUGUCCCAGUGCUUGGCCAUCCUGGGGACCUCUGCCCAGCAGAGAAGAGCCUGAAACUUGUAUCAGAGACAAUGAAUGUCUUAUGGAUGGUGAGAGGCACUGCCAGAAGCUUUUCUUUAAUCCUGAAUGGUUUGUUAUGGUAUUGCUCUCUCCCAGCUGGAUUACCUGAUUAAAAGUGAGCUCAUGCAUCAUAGCCUUUCACUUCAGCUGGCGCUGCAAGAAGAUGGAGAAAAAAGAUCCAGACACCAGUUUUCCUAACACUUGUCUUUGAGACCCUUACUCUUCCAUCAUGCCCACUUAAAAUUAAAAAAAAAAAAAAUUGACAAAUCAGCGAAUAGAUUUAAAAAUUGAUUAGUGAGCUGGACAGCAGAGUGGAGAGGCGACACAGACGAUGGAGGACCAGAAGACACCUUCUCCUGGGACUGUCGCCAGCAAAAACUAAAGCCCAGGGUAUGCCCAGUUGGCUCUUGACAAAGGACUGGCACCAUUUCAGUGCUGCUUGCCUCAAAGGCAUGAAAGCCCAGUGAAAAACUAGGCUGGGAACCAAGAGGAAGCAAAAUGCAGACCAGCCAUGAAUAAUGGGGCAAAUGUGUCAAUGCUAACAGAAAUACACAGCAGCCCUUCCCAUUGUCCAGACUUGGCAUGGUCUUUCCAAAAGCUGCUGCUGAAGUGAGCCUUCCUGGAUCAAACAGAGUGUGCCUGCAGGCGUGAUCCCCAAGCUGGGUUUGAUUUACGUGUUAUGGGUUAGUGAUUCAGCCACAAUGAGGGAUCACACACUGGAGACACUCUCCCAUUGCUCCUCCAUCACCUGCACCUCCCCCACACCAGCCUACUGACCCCCUCAUUUUUGGGCAGGUUGCCUCAGCACUGAUUUUUCUUUUCAAAAGCACUUCAACUUGAAGUGCUGAAAAUGGCUCCUGAGCAACCCCGAGAUGUGAAGCCAAACUGAAAAGGUCCCUUUUCUUGCAUUUGCAGGAGUGUUUGUAUUCAUGUUUUUUUAUGUUUCCAUGUUGUGGGACAGAGUAGAGGUCAGGGCAGGCAGGGGGAAGCAGGUUUAUAUACACUUACAAACAGAUCUCUGUUAAGAGGUGUGGCAGGAGAAAGCUGCUUGUGGACCACAAGAAGGAACGAGGACUACAGUUCUCACUGCUGAGGAUAGAGGAACUUGGGCAACAAGAAUAUGUCUGAAGCAGCUGAACAGGGAGAAAAUCUCUGGUUAGGUGUCCCUGCUCCCCCAGUCCGCCUUCAUCACUAGCUGCAUCAGCACUGAGGAUACCAGUUUUGUUCUUACGUAGUUCACAGCAAUCUUCAGAGGGUUACAGGGUCCCUUUGAGGUCUCAGUGAGAAGAUGUGGUGCAAUGUCUUCAAAUGGUGCCUUCAAGAGCAGCUAAUCAGGGACAUCAGAACUGUGGGAGUGGGAAUUGUGUCAGGCUGGCACAGGAAAAGUUCUGCCACUAAUGUCUCAUCAAGCCAACGCGGGCUUAACCUGUCAGGCAAAACAAGAAGUGGUAGAGACAGAGUACCAGUUAAUAGGCUUUAGGACAUACAAAGCAGCAGGAAACCCAUUUUUCUCCAACCACCCACAUCCCAUACGGAUGUAGCUUUGAGAGUUUUUUUCGGCUUUGUGUUGGUGGAAACAAAAGCAAGUCCCUUCUGCAACCCAUUUGAGCAAGAAAAAUGAGAUAGAGGCUCCUGGGGAGGCUUGUUUUAUCAGAGAUGCUGGUGCUGAGGGGGUAGUAUAGAGACCGAUGAAGUAUGAAUGGUGCACUAAAUUUGGGGCUC